GCCGGGGCGGGUUGGGUGUUGGAGAUCCUCAGCCCGGAGGGUGCAGGCCUUAGAACUCACAGUGACCCGAAGCCCAUCUCUACUCCUCACGCAGAUCUGAUAUAAAGGGCUCUUUAUAUCAGAUGCGAGGGACACAGCGCCCUGACCCAGUUAAUGUCACCUGUCCUUACUGUCACUACCAGGGAGGCCUCCUUGGCAGCGCCUCACUUUCACAGUCCCUUUCCUCGGCCUGCUUUUGUCACCAGCAACACCCGACAUUUUUAUUUUCUUGCUUCUACUGUCUUUCGUUCUCUCCCACGGAUAAUGUUAGCAGCGUCCAAGGAGCUUCCAGAUGGAAAGGCUCAGCCAGGGGCUUCCCUAUCUCCCGGAGCAGGAACGAGCGGGCCUCCAUGGGAGAAUGGCGCGUCACUCCCGCUUGUCAGCCCAGGGACCCACGCGGGACCGUGGAGGCUGAGGGGGCACCAACUCUCUUUUUACUUCUAGUUUUGCUGCCGCCCGAGCGUGAAGAGAUCUGGAAGCCCCCUUGUCAAGCGGUCCUUGAGUGACGCAGCGCCUCACCUAGGUGCCCUGGACUAAACAGGAAGACUCAGGCUACCCUUGCUUUUGGCUGUUUUCAGUCUCAUAAAAUAAGAUUCCAGACUAAUAUCCAUUGUGGAAGCC
Molecule: long non-coding RNA, 660 nt
Filed under: Cavia porcellus (domestic guinea pig)
Lineage: Eukaryota; Metazoa; Chordata; Mammalia; Rodentia; Caviidae
Description: lncRNA (ENSCPOG00000036139.1)
Source: RNAcentral